This 424-nucleotide ribosomal RNA is filed under the name Verrucomicrobiota bacterium. RNAcentral's name for it is "Verrucomicrobia bacterium partial 16S ribosomal RNA". It matches the Rfam family "Bacterial small subunit ribosomal RNA", at positions 355 to 776 of the family's 1533-position model. The record is from RNAcentral. Lineage: Bacteria; Pseudomonadati; Verrucomicrobiota.
UGAGGAAUAUUGGUCAAUGGACGAGAGUCUGAACCAGCCAAGUAGCGUGCAGGAUGACGGCCCUAUGGGUUGUAAACUGCUUUUGUUUGGGAAUAAUCGACAUUACGUGUAAUGUUUUGCAUGUACCAUUCGAAUAAGGACCGGCUAAUUCCGUGCCAGCAGCCGCGGUAAUACGGAAGGUCCAGGCGUUAUCCGGAUUUAUUGGGUUUAAAGGGAGCGUAGGCCGGUUGGUAAGCGUGUUGUGAAAUGUAGGAGCUCAACUUCUAGAUUGCAGCGCGAACUGUCAGACUUGAGUGCGCACAACGUAGGCGGAAUUCAUGGUGUAGCGGUGAAAUGCUUAGAUAUCAUGAAGAACUCCGAUUGCGAAGGCAGCUUACGGGAGCGCAACUGACGCUGAAGCUCGAAGGUGCGGGUAUCGAACAGG